This 277-nucleotide long non-coding RNA is filed under the name Bos taurus (domestic cattle). Its description in RNAcentral is "long non-coding RNA NONBTAT009067". Lineage: Eukaryota; Metazoa; Chordata; Mammalia; Artiodactyla; Bovidae. The record is from RNAcentral.
ACAGAGGCCUAUCCAAACCCACGGCCUGCUCUGCUUUCCUGUGUAAUGAUGCUGCUCACCUGUCUGGACCCUUCACAGCUUCCUAGUCUGUAGGGUUAACCGCUAGCGGUCAUGGGCAACCCAGAGGUGCCCCAGGAAAGAACACCCAGGCUGGGCGCCCGUCCUUAGAGUUUCCUGUGCCGCCCGAGGUGGAAGUGGCCUUGAGGGUUAAGUCACAUACGUGCUGAGUGUCUCUUUCUGCAUACCUGCCAUGGCUUGUGAGUCAGGGUUCUGCUCU